UGCAGUCGAGCGGAGAGAGGUAGCUUGCUACUGAUCUUAGCGGCGGACGGGUGAGUAAUACUUAGGAAUCUGGCUAUUAGUGGGGGACAACAUUUCGAAAGGGAUGCUAAUACCGCAUACGUCCUACGGGAGAAAGCAGGGGAUCUUCGGACCUUGCGCUAAUAGAUGAGCCUAAGUCGGAUUAGCUAGUUGGUGGGGUAAAGGCCUACCAAGGCGACGAUCUGUAGCGGGUCUGAGAGGAUGAUCCGCCACACUGGGACUGAGACACGGCCCAGACUCCUACGGGAGGCAGCAGUGGGGAAUAUUGGACAAUGGGGGGAACCCUGAUCCAGCCAUGCCGCGUGUGUGAAGAAGGCCUUAUGGUUGUAAAGCACUUUAAGCGAGGAGGAGGGUACUGGUAUUAAUACUACCAGGUACUGGACGUUACUCGCAGAAUAAGCACCGGCUAACUCUGUGCCAGCAGCCGCGGUAAUACAGAGGGUGCGAGCGUUAAUCGGAUUUACUGGGCGUAAAGCGUGCGUAGGCGGCUAAUUGAGUCGGAUGUGAAAUCCCCGAGCUUAACUUGGGAAUUGCAUUCGAUACUGGUUAGCUAGAGUGUGGGAGAGGAUGGUAGAAUUCCAGGUGUAGCGGUGAAAUGCGUAGAGAUCUGGAGGAAUACCGAUGGCGAAGGCAGCCAUCUGGCCUAACACUGACGCUGAGGUACGAAAGCAUGGGGAGCAAACAGGAUUAGAUACCCCUGGUAGUCCAUGCCGUAUACGAUGUCUACUAGCCGUUGGUCUCUUUGAGGGAUUAGUGGCGCAGCUCACGCGAUAAGUAGACCGCCUGGGGAGUACAGUCGCAAGACUAAAACUCAAUGAAUUGACGGGGGCCCGCACAAGCGGUGGAGCAUGUGGUUUAAUUCGAUGCAACGCGAGAACCUUACCUGGUCUUGACAUAGUAAGAACUUUCAGAGAUGGAUUGGUGCCUUCGGGACUUACAUACAGUGCUGCAUGGCUGUCGU
This 1000-nucleotide ribosomal RNA is filed under the name Acinetobacter ursingii. Its description in RNAcentral is "bacterial SSU rRNA". It matches the Rfam family "Bacterial small subunit ribosomal RNA", at positions 56 to 1055 of the family's 1533-position model. Lineage: Bacteria; Pseudomonadati; Pseudomonadota; Gammaproteobacteria; Moraxellales; Moraxellaceae. The record is from RNAcentral.